GUUGUAUGGUUAAGUGACUAAGCGUACACGGUGGAUGCCUGGGCAGUCAGAGGCGAUGAAGGACGUACUAACUUGCGAUAAGCGCAGAUAAGGCAGUAAGAGCCGUUUGAGUCUGCGAUUUCCGAAUGGGGAAACCCAACUGCAUAAGCAGUUACUGUUAACUGAAUACAUAGGUUAACAGAGCAAACCGGGGGAACUGAAACAUCUAAGUACCCCGAGGAGAAGAAAUCAACCGAGAUUCCGGUAGUAGCGGCGAGCGAACCUGGAUUAGCCCUUAAGCACUCGGUGAAGUAGGUGAACAAGCUGGAAAGCUUGGCGAUACAGGGUGAUAGCCCCGUAACCGACGCUUCAUCGAGCGUGAAAUCGAGUAGGGCGGGACACGUGAUAUCCUGUCUGAAUAUGGGGGGACCAUCCUCCAAGGCUAAAUACUCCUGACUGACCGAUAGUGAACCAGUACCGUGAGGGAAAGGCGAAAAGAACCCCUGUGAGGGGAGUGAAAUAGAACCUGAAACCGUGUACGUACAAGCAGUAGGAGCACCUUCGUGGUGUGACUGCGUACCUUUUGUAUAAUGGGUCAGCGACUUAUAUUCAGUGGCAAGGUUAACCGUAUAGGGGAGCCGUAGCGAAAGCGAGUCUUAACUGGGCGCUCAGUCUCUGGAUAUAGACCCGAAACCGGGUGAUCUAGCCAUGGGCAGGUUGAAGGUUGAGUAACAUCAACUGGAGGACCGAACCGACUAAUGUUGAAAAAUUAGCGGAUGACUUGUGGCUAGGGGUGAAAGGCCAAUCAAACUCGGAGAUAGCUGGUUCUCCCCGAAAGCUAUUUAGGUAGCGCCUCGGACGAAUACUACUGGGGGUAGAGCACUGUUAAGGCUAGGGGGUCAUCCCGACUUACCAACCCUUUGCAAACUCCGAAUACCAGUAAGUACUAUCCGGGAGACACACGGCGGGUGCUAACGUCCGUCGUGGAGAGGGAAACAACCCAGACCGCCAGCUAAGGUCCCAAAGUAUUGCUAAGUGGGAAACGAUGUGGGAAGGCUCAGACAGCUAGGAUGUUGGCUUAGAAGCAGCCAUCAUUUAAAGAAAGCGUAAUAGCUCACUAGUCGAGUCGGCCUGCGCGGAAGAUGUAACGGGGCUAAGCAAUACACCGAAGCUGCGGCAAUGUCUUUUAGAUAUUGGGUAGGGGAGCGUUCUGUAAGCCGUUGAAGGUGAAUCGUAAGGUUUGCUGGAGGUAUCAGAAGUGCGAAUGCUGACAUGAGUAACGACAAAGGGGGUGAAAAACCUCCUCGCCGGAAGACCAAGGGUUCCUGUCCAACGUUAAUCGGGGCAGGGUGAGUCGACCCCUAAGGUGAGGCCGAAAGGCGUAAUCGAUGGGAAACGGGUUAAUAUUCCCGUACUUCUGACUAUUGCGAUGGGGGGACGGAGAAGGCUAGGUGGGCCAGGCGACGGUUGUCCUGGUUCAAGUGCGUAGG
Molecule: ribosomal RNA, 1469 nt
Filed under: Vibrio cholerae
Lineage: Bacteria; Pseudomonadati; Pseudomonadota; Gammaproteobacteria; Vibrionales; Vibrionaceae
Description: partial 23S ribosomal RNA
Rfam family: Bacterial large subunit ribosomal RNA
Source: RNAcentral